This 200-nucleotide ribosomal RNA is filed under the name uncultured bacterium. Its description in RNAcentral is "partial 16S ribosomal RNA". It matches the Rfam family "Bacterial small subunit ribosomal RNA", at positions 524 to 723 of the family's 1533-position model. The record is from RNAcentral.
UACGUAGGGGGCAAGCGUUGUCCGGAAUCAUUGGGCGUAAAGCGCGUGUAGGCGGGUCGGUAAGUCCGCUCUGAAAGCCCGGGGCUCAACCCCGGGAGGCGGGUGGAUACUGUCGACCUCGAGUCCGGAAGAGGCGAGUGGAAUUCCUGGUGUAGCGGUGGAAUGCGCAGAUAUCAGGAGGAACACCAGUGGCGAAGGCG